This is a long non-coding RNA of Peromyscus californicus insignis, 9563 nucleotides long. RefSeq lists it as uncharacterized. Lineage: Eukaryota; Metazoa; Chordata; Mammalia; Rodentia; Cricetidae. The transcript has 3 exons. The record is from RefSeq and is a predicted model, not a curated record.
GGAGAAGCCGUACUUUCUGCGGAACUCGCUGCGCUUCCGGGCCAGCAGCCGCUGCCGGUUGCGCUCGGCCUCGGACUCCAGCGCAUCGAAGACUGCGGCGCCCACCAGCAGCACCAAAAUGGUACCUUCUUCGGAGUCCUACCUGUGAGCCUGUAUGGAGACUUCUGCUACAGUACCAGUUACCCUCACCUGAAGCUGUUGGGGACAACUGGACCUCCCAGGAACUGCAGUAGCAUAAGAAUGGCCCCCAAGAAUGCCCAUGCCUCCUCCUUGGGAUCUGUGAAUACAUUUGGCUGCCUGGCAAAGGGAAGCUGAGGACGCUGAUGGCACAGGUUGCUGAUCACCUCAACAUGGGGGAUGAUCUCAAACCUCCGGGUGAGUCCACAUUACCACAAGGGUCCCUAUACUCAAAGAUGAAGGCAGGAGAGACACCCAGCGAUUGCAGCAUUAGGAACUCAGCCUGAUCCCUGGAGGAGGGGUAAAGCAGGUGACAUUCAGGAGCUGGAAGUGGGAAGAAGAUGGGUUCCUGCUUUGUCUAGAGAAAGGAAUGUGGACACACAGGCACCUUUGUUCUAGCCCAAGGAGACCCAUGUCGAGAGAACUAGAAAGUUCUUCUUUUUGGGGGGCAGAGGUGGAUGUAAAUGUGCAAGUACACAUGUGGGGGCGAUAUGCAUGCACACGUGUGUGCAUAUGUGUAGAGGCCAGACAUCAACUUUUGAAUGUCACUCCUCAGGAACUAUCCACCUUGUUAUUUCUUUGGAACAAGAUCUCUCAUUAGGAUUCAGGGCUCUCCAAUUCAGGCAACUGACUAGCCAGACUGCCCCAGAGAUCCUCUUGACCUGACCUCCUCAGGUAGGAUUACAAACACAUGCCACCACACCUGACUUAAAAAUGGGUGCUGGGGAUUGAUCUCAGGUUCUCAUGGUUGUUAAGCAAGCACUUUACUGGCUGAACUCUCUCUCCUCAGCCCCAGAAAGUAAUUUGGAGGGGAGUGGGAGGUGGGGGUAAGUCCCCAUGUUUGUGAUGAUUGACAGCUGCCAUAGGGUGAAUGGAGAAGCCUGGGGAGCCCCACCUGCUUGCCAACGGGAUUACCCUAGGGGCAUUUAGCCCCUGUUACUAUCACAGUGAGUGGACCCUGGCCUGUAAGACCUCAGUUCUGGGGUGGAGUUGGGGCUCAGUGCCUAUAGAAAAAGAUUUGCACACCCUCACCCCCAGAGGGUCAGGAUGGCAGCCAAGUGGCCCAGAAGCAGGUUGCUGACGCGGUGAGCUAACACAGUUGCUGAGACUUUAUUUUUAGUAAGGGCAUCAGCAAGUUUGUUUUUCUGAUUCUUCUCCGCACAGAGAGGCAGAAACCUGGGCAGAAGCCUCGGGGUGGGGGCAGGGCGCCAGGCUCUUCCACUCAAGAAGGGUUGGAGAAGAGCCUGUGGGGACGAGCAAGCUUGGGGAGCAGCUUGGUCGUGGGGAGCGGGGGAGGAGAGUUCACGAGGAUGAUCCUGAGCACAGCUGAAGUUCAGAAAGACUUGAGUUCAAAUUCCUACUCCUCCACUUUCUACUUGCAUUUCCAAAGACAGAACAUCUCCACCUUUUUGAGCUUCGAUUUUCCCAUGUGAGAACCAAGAUACCAACGCUCCCCACGGAGGACCGUUACAGACACUGGGAUGUGCUGCUUCCCAGGUACCCUGAGCUGGUAGUCUUGUUUCCUCCCUUUUCAAAACUGCCUGUCGACAGAUGCCAGGAAUUCUGUUUUCAGAAACAGAGGAGAGUCUGGCUAGAGGCGCUGGAGCCCUGUGUGUGCUGAGCAUUGCCACAGUGUCACCUCUACAGGUCAGGAAAGAGAAGGUGCCGAUCUACCAAGUCCCCGUGGUCAUGGCUGAGACAGGACUCGAACAUGGGCCUGCCUGAAUCCCAAGGGCACCACUCUUCUUAGGCUAGGCACUGCUGGCCAUGUCACUCUUCCAUCGGCCCUGGGGACCAUACUUUCCUCAUCUGUGAGAUGGCUGCAAGAUCCUCGGUAGACGAAGCUGUCCCGCCACUGUGAGGAUCCCAUGACAUAGAGCUGAGGGUGACUUGUCAGAUGUGCCUACUGGGGUGGGUAUAAUUGGGGCCAUGGAGGCACUGUCUGGCCCUGCCAGGCAGGUGACUCUGCCCUGUGCUUGGCAUUUUUGGUUCAGCAGUGCUAUUUUAAGCCGGAGGAGGUUAAGUUUGUGUAUGUGUGUUUCUCAGCUUGGAAGUCAUCAGCUGAGCAGACACCAAAAACAGAACUCCCUAAGGCACUCUUUUCAGCUCCCCUCCUCCCCCUGCUUGGGGACCUGAGGGCAUCUAGUGAUUUUCCUUUGUCCCCUGAUGCUAGCAUUAUACCCAUGGCCUUUCAGGGAGGCCUGGGGGCUCCUUAAAAGCUGGCAGCCUUUGCCACUCACACACUGGGGAGAGGAAGCUGAGGCCCAGCACAAGAGAGGGGACUCAUCUAAGGCCACACAAGAUCAGGUGGUGAACAAGGGACCAGGAUGGAGUAGAUAGUUAUCUGGGACCUUGGGUCCCGUCUUAGGCAUGUGACUUCACCUCUCUGAGCCCCAGUGUGCCCUCAUCUCUGCCUCAGCAGGUGGGUAGGAAUAUCUGCCUGACAAGAUUCCUGUGAGGAUCCAAUAAAUGUGCUAAAUCCAGGGUUUCACCAGCAAAUGACAGCGCCCGCCCCUGCACCAAACCAGUUUCUCCGCAGCCCCUUCCAUGUUGCUCAUUCUGAAGGCUUUAGGGAUCAUAGGAAAUUGAUUUUUACAGUUAGAAUGAAGUUCAGUGAUUUCCAGAAAGCCAACAGGCUCAGGCAUUUCCCUUGAUAAGGUCCCUAUGUGUCCCUCUUAACAGAAUUGACUGUUUUCACCCCAGGGGACAUCAUUGGGAGCUCCUUAGAGAGCAGCUGUGGCUUGUCAGCACCCUGACUGUCACUCAGGGAUCUGGGCUGCGUGACAUAAAAAGCUGCUUCCCACUAACCAAAGAAUCUCAGGCUUACAAGGACACGUGAUCAAAGUCACCAGGCCAAGAGGCAUGCAUAGGAAGGCCACCUGCUGUGAGCUUGUUCUGGUGGCAGCCAUACUUCCCUGUAGGGAGGGGUUUACCAGGCAAUGGUGCGGGGUGACCCUGGCUGCCACGUGGCAGUCAGAGCUCAGCUGCUGACGAGCCCCACCCUCUCUUCUGCAGUGAAAUCUACUCUGUUGGAAUCAAGGGUGUCUGAGUCACGGGGUCAGGGCUUAUCCAGAAGACAUCAUGGCCUAGGGAUGGCAAGAAGAUGGGGAAACACUGGACAAGAAAGUCACGGGCUGGGCUGGGAAGACGGUUCAGCUGUAACUCCAGUUCCAGGGGAGCUGAUGCCCCGCCCCCCACGACCUCCUUGGGCACCAGCCAUGCUCAUGCAUACAUGCAUGGAAAAUACCCAUACACUCAAGAUAAGUAAAUCGAAAAAGUUUUGUUUCAAAAAUUCAGGUCAGACUUGGUGGUACAUGCCUUUAAUCCCAGUCCUUGGGAGGCACAGGCAGGGGGAUCUCUGUGAGUUCAACUCAGCCUGGUCUACAAAGAGAGUUCUAGGCCAGCCAGGGUUACACAGUAAGACUCUGUCUCAAAAGAAAAACAAAUAUAUAACUUAGUUUAUAAGGGGAGAGGAGAUAGUGGAGCCUGGGUUAACCAAAACUAAAGACUUUAUGAAAAACCAGUAUGGAAAUCUACUGCUUCAUAAGCUAAUUACAAACUGUAAUUAAAAUAUAGAACGAGUUUGAACACAGAUACCCUGCAUGUGUGGUCAAUACUUCCACCAGACCACUUGGGUUAUUAAAGAAAAAUGUCAGUGCCAAGCAUAGGUUAUUGAUCAGGAAGGCCCCCGAAAUCCCCAAAACAACACAGACUAUUGCUGUUGCUCCUGAUUGCCAGCCAGAACUAGAUGUUAAGGCCCUGCUGCAGAAGACACAGGACAUUUUGGUUGCAGGACACGGAGAAAUGAAGCUGGAACUGCCAUGAAACCUUCCUCCCUGCUGUUUCUGUUCAGUGGCAGAGGAUGCUCCGCAGGCUUUCUGGGGAGAAAAGUUGUCCGUGUCAGCUCUGCCGACAACCCUGCAUCCCACCACGCUGUCUUGCCAGGCAAGAUGUGCCCACUUUGGUGGCGUGAGAGUCAUGGCGGUCACCAUCUGCUUUUGGAUUGGAUUUGAGGCCUGAGCCACAGGAAGAAAGCCAUGCCUGGUACUGUAAACCUGCUCUAAGGCGUGGCUUGAGAGGUUCUAGGGGAGAACAUACUACUGUUGUUUUGGUACCCGACACAUUGCCAAACCACCUUCUAAAUAUUUAUGCUAAUUCCCAUGGAUUAGUGCUGUUCUCAGCCUUGGCUAGAGAAGCUUCUCUUUGCGGUAGCCAGUAGCUAAUGUGGAGACUCGUAACUGAUGAAAGUGAAGAAGUAAAUGACAGUUGAUGCUCAGCAUGGACUAGAACAAUCUAUACACACACACACACACACACACACACACACACACACACACACACACACACACACACAGCAUCACAGAGGAGGAAGGGAGCAGAAACACUGUAAGAGCAGGAGGAAGGAGAGGAGGGCUGUGAAAUGUUGUCUUCUGGAUAUGACAGGGCCAUGGCACUCAUGAACCCACUGCAGCUGUGGUUACCUGCCCAAGAUCCAGCCAGCAAGUUGGGAGGACAAGGGCAAAAAGCAGCCAAAACAUCACAAGAACAGUCUCUAUGCCGCUUUCUAAUAUUCUUCUCCUCUGAAACUUCUUGAGCCAAGCUGUCACAUGCUGUGGGAUGUCUUUCUGUAUGCUGUGAAUAUGUGUUCCUCCCAUUGGCUAAUAAAUAAAGCUGCAUUGGCCUAUGGCAGGGCAGGAUGGAGCCAGGUGGGAAAAUCCAAGAGAGACAGUAAAAGGAGAAAGGAGAGUGUGGGGAGACGCCAGCUGCCGCCCCAGGAGCAGCAAGAUGCCAGCAGACCGGUCACGCCACGGCCACAUGGCAACUUACAGAUUAAUAGAAAUGGGUUAAGUUAAAAGAGCUAGCUAGCAAGAUAUAAGCCUCUGAACGAUCAUUUUAUAAGCGGCUAUGAAUCGCAGGUGAGAGGUUUGUCCUGACCUCGGGGCGGGCAGGACACAGGAAAUCUUCCGGCUAUAGUCACAGUUCACAUGUCCCUCAGCACCAUUGUCCAUGCUCCUACUUGAAUGGACCAUUAAGGCCCACUUAAAAUGUUCAACCACUUUUCUAGUACAAAGUCCUCCAACAAGCAGCCUGGUCAAGCCUGUCACAUCAAUGCCCCGGUCCCUGGUACUAACUCCUGUCUCAGCCCCUGUUCUACGGCUGUGAAGAGACAUAGUGACCAAAGUAAACCUUAUGAAAGGAAGCAUUUAAUUGGGGGCUGGCUUUCAGUUUCAGAAGCUUAGUCCAUUAUCAUCCUGGCAAGGAGCAUGGUGCCAGGCCUGGUGCUGGAGAAGUAGCGAGUACUCUGCUCCAUCCUGGUCCACAGGCCGAAAGAGAAAACAACACUGGGCCUGGUUUGGACUUUUGAAACCUCAAAGCCCACCCUGCAGUGACACACUUCCUCCAACAAGGCCACGCCUACUCCAACAAGGCCACACCUCCUAAUCCUAAUCCUUUCAAAUAGCACCCCUCCCUGGUGACUAAGCAUUCAGAUCGAUGAGCCUGUGGGGCCCAUUCUUAUUCAAACCACCACAGUGUGUUAUUAAGAGAGGAAAGGAUAAAAGAGGGGAGUGGAAUGUGUUGGGGUGUCUAGGGAAGCGGGAAGGGGGAAUUGAGGGUCCUAGAGGGGGUGGGCAUGCAGGAAGCAGAUAAUCAGGAUCCAUUAUCUACAUAUAUGAACCUGUCAAAGAACCAAUAAAACAAGUUCUGAAAGUAUCCAGUUCCUUCGUUGCAGUGGACAUGUCAAGUUUGGCCACGGCCGUGACAUGAUGGAAAGCAGAGCACCUGCCUCACCGUGGAACAGUCCGUUGGACAGCACUGGCAAAGAGCACAGAUUUGACAACCAGACUGGCUGGAUUUGAAUGCUGGUUCCAAUCUUCAGUUAUCCUGGGCCUCUGUUUACUCGCCUGUGAAAUGGGGAUAAUGAUCCAGUAAAGGCCCACAUAUGUGGGAGUCCACAGAGGUUUCCUAGUGAGAUCUGAGCUUGCUUUACACAGCAGGGCUGCAUUAGGAGAUGGCUGGACCAUGUGUAUGGUCACCAGGUGUCUGGGAUGGUCUACACUUGGCUGUGCUGGGGGGAGGUCUUUUGCUCCACCCCUUGGCAUUCCUUUAAAAGCCCUUUAGUAGAGACAGAAGGGCCUGGUGGGUUUUGACCCAGGCCCUCCUGAGCUAUCCUGUGUUUUCUGUCUCUCUCCUCUAUACUUCUGUCUACAUAUUCUUUAUUUCUCCCUGUGCUCAAGAGUACCCUGGGGAAUAAGAGGGAGCUGGUCUUCCUCACACACAGCCAUCACACCUGGGACUAGAGGUUAGUCAGCUACUCAAAGCAUCAAGGGAUGCUCUCACUCACACUGGACAAGCUCUCCUACCAAUGAGUGCAUUUCUAGUCCUUUGUUUUGUUUUGAGACAGGAUCUUGCUAAAUUGCCGAGGCUGGCCUUUGAGUUCACUAUGCGUACAAACUGGCUUCCCAGGUACCUGGGACUAUAGGUGUGCACCGUCACACCCAGCUUGUGUGGCUUAAAUGACGUGCUAGGAAUAGAACCCUGGACCCUGAGCACUUUAGACAAGCGAUCUAACACAGAAAUCCAUUCCCUACCCCAGGACAUCCUUUUAAAUAGAAGAUUUCUAUUUGUUUGUGGGGUUUGUUUGUUUGUUCAAGACAGGGUUUCCCUGUGUAGCCUUGACUGUCUUAGAACUUGCUCUGGAGACCAGGCUGCCUGUCUCCUGAGUGCUGGGAUUAAAGGCGUGUGCCACCACUGCCUGGCACACCUGGAAGAUUUUAUUCAAUUAAAAACAAACAUUUGUUUUCCGUCCAAUCUAUUCCUUGUGUUUAGCCCUGUUCAUGAGCUUCACACAUUGUCCCCAUAUGUGAAGGACACCCAGGACUGGCAGGCAACUAACAGAACAACAGGAGAGUAGAAUCCUCUGCACCAUGGUUCUUUCUUUUUAAAAAUAUUAUUAUUAUCAUUAUUAUUGUUGUUGGUUUAUUUGUUUGUUUUUCGAGACAGGGUUUCUCUGUGUAGUUUUUGGUGCCUGUCCUGGAUCUUGCUCUGUAGACCAGGCUGGCCUUGAACUCACAGAGAUCUGCCUGGCUCUGCCUCCCGAGUGCUGGGAUUAAAGGCGUGCGCCACCACCACCCGGCUAUUUUUAUUAUUUUAAUUGUGUAUAUGUGUGUGUGUGUGUGUGAGUGCAUGUGCAUGUGCCUUUGAAGACAUCGGACCCCCGGAACUGGAGUUACAGGCAGUUGUGAGCCACUUGCUAUAGUGCUAGGACACAAACCUGGGACCUCUUAAGAACAGUGCAUGCUCUUAACCGCUGAGCUGUCACUCCAGCUGCCUCCGGAUGUUUCUUUCCAGAUCCUUUGGAGUUGUUUCUUCCAUGCCCAAUUUAAAGUAGUUUUUAAACCACAAGUCUUUAUUGAGCUUUCGUAAAAAACAAAUCUCUUCCCUUUGUGCUCGUAUUUCACCAGCUUAUGGGAUCGCUAAUUCAAUUGCCUCUUUACAAAAACCAGUGUGGCUGGUGCAGACCAGUUUGGAAACAAACCCAAUAGACUCUUGGCAAGCAUGCAAUUUGAUGGCAGAAAGCCAGAGGGGACAAGGGUGCCAGAGAAUGGCCUGCUGGCCACUCAGCAGGCGUGUGGCAGGAGUGUCCCAUUCAAACAGCCUGGAGAGCCCCAUUAGCCGGGAAGCUGUUUCAACAGAUUGCUAACAGGAAUUUUGUUCUCAUCCUCAUUCUAGCAAAGACUCCAUAGUGUGGUGUCGACUUUGGGAGACACCUGCACAGCAAGACAAUUCAUUUGCCAGCCUGUCUUGCAGCCACAAGUGACCAUGGGAUAGGCCUCACCAAUGGAGUGCAAGUUAGAGUGUGGGUUCCAGACAUGGCCUCUGGGGAACAGGGAAACGUCUCCAUCUCUGUCUGCAAUAUAGACGCAGAGGACCCUGUGCCCUGGGAAAUGGUGGGUCACCAUGUAAACAGCCAGGAACAUCACGUGAAGGAAAGCCGCCAUCCCGUCAGAAUGCUUGCCUGGUUUAUUAAGACAGCUAGCAUCACCCAAUGGACACACUUACCAUGUAAGCUGUGAUAGUCAAAUUAGAUGAUACAUACACAAUAGACUCCCAAGUGGGACUUCCUAUUGUUUCAGGUUCCCAGAUGAAGUCUGCUUUACAGCUGAGGUCAAACAGAAGGUACCAAGAACGCCUAUAUUCCAGAAAGCUCCAAGACUCACCUGCAGGCCCUUCUUAGAAACGUUCCACUGGCUUCCGCCUCCUAGUCUAGUCCCUCCAGCUAUGUAGUAAAGUCAAGGGCAAGUUUCUAGGACCAGAGAACAGGUUUAAAUCCUGGGCCUACAAUAUACCAACUGCGAGACCCUGGUAAAAUUGUGUCAGCUCUCUGGGUGGCCUUAAUGAUAAUAUCUGCCACCUCAUUGCCCUAUACCCCCCCAGAUACAGAGGCUGUGAGGUCAGCUUGAGUCCUGGCUGCAUGUUCUAUUCCACCCUCCCUCCGACCCCUGCCUCCUCCCUCUCCCUGACUGCUGAAUCCUGUCAGUCACUACAUGGAUCUCUUCUUUAUCUAGUUGGAAGCCAGAAGAGAGUCACAAGGAAUAACAAGAGCCAUCCAGGUCAGAGCAAGCAGCCUGGGGAAAGGCCUGGAAGGGAGAACGUGGCCAAGAGGGGAUGCCACACCUAUGGGGUGUCUCAGCACAGAGGGUCUGGAAGACACAAGAGGCCUGAGAGUCGUGGGUCUGGCCCAGUCAGUGGAGGUUUAUCUCAGGGUCCCAGAGGAUUUUAAGCAGAAUGACUUAGCCUUGGUUGUGUUUACAAUGGUCUUUCUGGCUAUGCAGUGUGGCCAAUGGGAGAAGGCACUCACGGUGGGUCAUCCAGUGGACAGACAAGGUACCCUGCCUCGGGGCCUGGUGAUUAAAUAAUACAUUCAGCACAAAUGAAAAAGCAACAAAAUACCCUCCCCCGAACAGGAGCGGGGCGGGGUGGGGGAGAGAAUAGCUAUCUCUAUUUCCAACUCACCCGGAGGCUUGGUGCACCAUCUCCAAAUAGGCUGCACUUUUACAUCUGGGCAACAGGGGGCAGCAGUGACCUCUGGAUCCAGGACUUGGAUCAGCUGGCAGCCUCUCCACUAUUCAAGCUUACAAAUAUCACUAGGGGGCAGCACCAUGUUACUGUUUCCUCCACCAGAGCCCGUUGGAAACCCGCUAAUAACACACAGAUUUUAGCAAAGUGGGCACUCAGGAUGGACUGGCAGCAGGGGACAGAGGAAAUGGAAGAUCCUGCUCGGACCAGAUGCUGGCGCAGGCGCGGGUUGUUCUUGAACAGUCGACAAGUGACCGCGUGUGAUCUGGAUACUUGAUAAUACUGUUCAGUUGAAGUUAAGAAAAAGA